RNAcentral lists this ribosomal RNA (301 nucleotides) under uncultured bacterium. Its description in RNAcentral is "partial 16S ribosomal RNA". It matches the Rfam family "Bacterial small subunit ribosomal RNA", at positions 509 to 807 of the family's 1533-position model. The record is from RNAcentral.
CAGUCGCCGCGGUAAUACGUAGGUGGCAAGCGUUGUCCGGAAUUAUUGGGCGUAAAGGGCUCGCAGGCGGUUUCUUAAGUCUGAUGUGAAAGCCCCCGGCUCAACCGGGGAGGGUCAUUGGAAACUGGGAAACUUGAGUGCAGAAGAGGAGAGUGGAAUUCCACGUGUAGCGGUGAAAUGCGUAGAGAUGUGGAGGAACACCAGUGGCGAAGGCGACUCUCUGGUCUGUAACUGACGCUGAGGAGCGAAAGCGUGGGGAGCAAACAGGAUUAGAUACCCGAGUAGUCCCUGUCUCUUAUAC